Molecule: non-coding RNA, 71 nt
Organism: Danionella cerebrum
Lineage: Eukaryota; Metazoa; Chordata; Actinopteri; Cypriniformes; Danionidae
Source: the annotation of a GenBank genome assembly
UUUCCUGUGGCUUAAUUGGUGGAGCAUUGCGCUAACAAUGCAAAGGUCAUGGGUUUCAAAUUCCAGGGAAA